This 367-nucleotide ribosomal RNA is filed under the name Holophagae bacterium. RNAcentral describes it as "bacterial SSU rRNA". It matches the Rfam family "Bacterial small subunit ribosomal RNA", at positions 1 to 354 of the family's 1533-position model. Lineage: Bacteria; Pseudomonadati; Acidobacteriota; Holophagae. The record is from RNAcentral.
AACUGGAGAGUUUGAUCCUGGCUCAGAAUGAACGCUGGCGGCGUGCCUAACACAUGCAAGUCGAGCGGUAAGGCCCCUUCGGGGGUACACGAGCGGCGAACGGGUGAGUAACGCGUGGGUAACCUGCCCAGAAGUGGGGGAUAGCCCCGGGAAACCGGGGGUAAUACCGCAUGUGCUCCUGCCGACGCAAGUCGGCUCUUGGAAAGGCGGGGAUCCUUCGGGACCUGUCGCUUCUGGAUGGGCCCGCGUCCGAUUAGCUAGUUGGUAGGGUAACGGCCUACCAAGGCGACGAUCGGUAGCCGGCCUGAGAGGGUGAACGGCCACACUGGGACUGAGACACGGCCCAGACUCCUACGGGAGGCAGCAG